This 253-nucleotide ribosomal RNA is filed under the name uncultured bacterium. Its description in RNAcentral is "partial 16S ribosomal RNA". It matches the Rfam family "Bacterial small subunit ribosomal RNA", at positions 524 to 776 of the family's 1533-position model. The record is from RNAcentral.
UACGGAGGGGGCUAGCGUUGUUCGGAAUUACUGGGCGUAAAGCGCGCGUAGGCGGACCUGCAAGUCGGGGGUGAAAGCCCGAGGCUCAACCUCGGAACUGCCUUCGAUACUGCGGGUCUCGAGUCCGGGAGAGGUGAGUGGAAUUCCUAGUGUAGAGGUGAAAUUCGUAGAUAUUAGGAAGAAUACCAGUGGCGAAGGCGGCUCACUGGCCCGGUACUGACGCUGAGGCGCGAAAGCGUGGGGAGCGAACAGG